AACCCAUGGUGAAGGCACUCUCUUCAGUACUCCUUGUACCUUUCGCAAGCUUCGCAAAAGGUUCACCAGGUUGUUGUCUGAACAAUGAGAUCAUGUUCCUUAGAGC
Molecule: small nucleolar RNA, 106 nt
Organism: Eutrema salsugineum
Lineage: Eukaryota; Viridiplantae; Streptophyta; Magnoliopsida; Brassicales; Brassicaceae
Rfam family: Plant small nucleolar RNA R71
About the family: R71 is a member of the C/D box family of snoRNAs containing the C (UGAUGA) and D (CUGA) box motifs. Multiple nearly identical copies of this snoRNA have been identified in Arabidopsis, and it is thought to function as a 2'-O-ribose methylation guide for 18S ribosomal RNA.
Source: Rfam